RNAcentral lists this long non-coding RNA (39223 nucleotides) under Triticum aestivum (bread wheat). RNAcentral describes it as "long non-coding RNA (TAES_LNC018972)". The record is from RNAcentral. Lineage: Eukaryota; Viridiplantae; Streptophyta; Magnoliopsida; Poales; Poaceae.
UUGUGUUAGAACUUUGAGAGAGUUCGGUAGUGUAUGUAGCUGUCUGUCCCUGGACUUGGCUUUGUGACUUUCUUGGUGGUGGGUGAUGCAGAUGCAGGGUUAUCAUCUUCAGAUUUUGGUGCCUGAUGUCAGCGAUAUCUUUGCUGUAGUUUCUAUAGCCAUCAAGGGUUUGAGCCGUGCUGAACAUGCUCCUGCGUUUUGCUGUACUCCUGUCUGCACCACCAGGACACACCCUCCAAAGCAUGUUUAAUCUAUUUCUGGCAUCUCGGCUCUUGAGGAUUUUAAUGGUAAAUAACAAAGCUCAAAAGACUGACGGUGUAAGAGCAACUCUAGCAGGUGAGCAACAUUUGCAGCAUCAAAAUCAUUUCGAAGCGCUCAACAUAAUAAGCAAUUACAAGUUGGAAUGCACAAAUACGAAGUCGCAAAAAUUCGAACUCCAUAUUUUACAGAUUCACCUUUUUUUUAAGCUCGAAGAUAGUGGGAAAGGCUCGGACGCAGACGAGGAGCACACGGGGACCACACCCACCAGAAUCUAAGCCGCUCGUCAUUAGUUUUGGGAUUGGUGUAACUUUUUCUUGAAUUGCCAGCGACUUCAUAAUACACGAGUUUGUGUAUAUGUCAAUAGUAUUACCUUCGUUUCAGUUUACAAGUCCUACGCGUAUAUCUAGGUUGUUAAUUUUAUCACCCUAAUAUAAACUAUAUAACAUAAAAAUUAUACCUUUUGAAAGUAGAAACUCCGAAGUUUAUGUUGGUAUAUUUUUUGUAAUAUAUGACUUGUAUUAGGUUGGUCAAAUUAACGAUCUAGAAAUAUGUGCACGCUCUGUAAACUGAGAGAGGUAGUAAAAUGUUGUCCAUACUCAUUUAUUAGUGAACUGAAUGCAGUGUAUUUAACUUACUACACAUUGACUGAUAAAGUGGUGCAAGUUUUCAAUGAAGAAUUGAUUGAAAAAAAUGAAUGAGAAUUGAUUAAAAUAAAUGAAUGUAAAUUUGCCAGGCAACUUGCAGUGAAAAGGUAUCCCAAAAAAACUUAAAGUGGAAAGAUAAAACAUAAAAAGUAAAAUAAAAGAUGCCGCUACAAAGACUUAUGCUAGUUUCUUUUGAAAUACUAGCAAAAAGGUUAGAAAAAAAAUCCACUCAUAUAUCUAGUUAGGUCAGUUGGACAAACUAUGCGUGGACAGUAUGCAAGUUAUGAGAUCGAAUCUUUCCAUCGGCAAUUUUAUUUUUCUUCGGACCUGACCCACAGUGUGCCGUUAGAUGAGCUUCCUCCGUUGGGCUAAAACAGGUGGCAAAUAAUGAAACUAAAUAGCUUACGUGAAAUUAAUUGAAACAGGACCAAAUGAAACAGAACGAAACCAAGAAUAGCACCUCUUUUUAAUAGCAGGUAUAGAUUUGAAGAAUAUUAUGGUUUUCUUAUGAACCACAGUUUUUAAAACUUUGAGGUGUUUGGGUUCAACAAAAAUCGCAGUUUUAUAAACAUAUUAUCUCUAAUACUUUUUUUUAUAGUAUUCAAGAAAAGAUGUCUUGACCAAUUUUUUCUAAACUAAAGAUGAAAAAAAUUAUGGUUUUUAAAAACGGAAGUAUUCAUUGUUUACGCAAUUGAAUAUAAAUGUUUUACAUUACUAUGGUUUUGAGAAAACUAUAUUGACAAACUAGGCGUUAGUACAAAAAUGUCGUAGUAAGCAUACAUAUAAUAAUUUAAUUACAUGAUUAGGGUCGGAUGGUUGAUAAUACAAAUUAUCAUAUCUGCAUCAUUAAGCACUAGUUCUUUCGUCGUACUAAAUUAUGCGACAGAAACACAACCUUGAGGAAAUAGUUAAUCACAUAAUCAAUUUUUCCAACCUUAAAUUUUGUCCAACUAAAAUAUUAGAUGGUCAGUACUAGCAAGAUUUGAUCAAGGCCAUAGUAACAACCGGUUGCAUUUAAUAUUUGAUGUGUGGUUCGGAGGUGGCCAUUGGAGACAAUGGGGUCUUCUCCUUUGCCACUGGUCAGGUCAGGACAACUGUUGAUAUUUAUAUGGGAGGGAUAUACAUGAUCGUUGAAUCAUGAAAUACAUCUUGACUAAUAUUUUGGUUGGGAUCCUGAUGCAAAUGAGUAGAGGAGAUUCCGGUGGGCAGCGUCGCCGAGUGCUCCUAUGCAAUUUUGGAAAGGCUCUCACUAACUUUAGACCAGUCAUAGUGGGGGGGUAACUUAGGCGACACUAGCCUAUGUUACUAUCUCAUAGUGGGAAGUAAGAUAGAGUUCAUAGUGAGAAGUAACAUAGAGGUAGUGUGAUAGGUGGAUCUAUUUAUUAGCUUGUAGACGUAUUUUGUCUUGGAAAGUGUUAUGUGAUGUAUGUUACUUUAAACAUCUCUCUUCUCAUUAACUACAUGUCACAUAAGCAGAAUUAUUUUGGGGUGUGUUAUGUUACUACAUAAGUUACUCCUGCUAUGACCAGCCUUACGGAUCCACCCUAUCAACAUCUGUUUAUUCCCCACUUCAUAUUUUACGGAUUCACCUUGUCAGCGUCUAUAUUUGUUUUUCACACACAAAAAUUGCAUAUUGCGUUGAACAUCACACUAAAAUCAAAAUUAACCUAGAGCAACAAAUCGGAAUUGAGCUAGAAUGACUAAUUGAGGUUGACAUAAGAACCAAUCAAAACAUGAUUUUAUUUAACCGAUUUCCUACUCUGUUUGGAAGUGACUUCACAUGUGGGGGCGAGUUUGACUGCUUCCGUUUGCGCUUUUACGCAGUUGAGGUUUCAUUGGGCUUCUUUGAUGCGAGUGAUGACCGUAUCCUUGUAGCCCUCCUUGAUUGUGGCUUCUACUUCUAUCACGUCGGCUUCCGUCAUGCGAACGAGGUACCAACAGGUGGCGGGGAGGCGAAUUGGCCUGCUGGGUGAUUCAACCUCUCUUAGGGCGUCAGCUUGGACCCCCUUAGAGUAAUGCCAUGCCUUCUCCCUAGAACUUCGUUCAGCGAGUCCUUAUUUACCAUCACCUGGAAAGGGUCCACGAGAAGGGUCUGAACGCAACAUGGCUCGAGCGAGGUUGGUGUAGAGGAAGAUAGUGGACAAGGAGGAGGAUGUUGGCUGAGUGUGGUAGCAGCAAGGUGGAGAGUGUCGGUUCAUAUAGUCGUGCUCUGGCGGGAAAGGGCGGGAUAAAGGGAAAGCAUAGGAGGGAAAUGGGCAUGAUGCAGUGGCCACUACUAAUGGGCGAUUUCCUAGUGGAGACCACUAUUUAGGAGAAGACGAGAAGCAAACGAUUAAAAUUCCCCUCCUGCGCACGCAGUUUGAUAUGCAUGCGUUCACCCAGCCUUCGAAUUAAUAUGAAGGCUAUGUUCGCUUGUUUAGCGUGCUCCAAAAAUAAUGAAGUCCAAGGGCAAUAUCACGGCUUUGCUAGACCCAUAUUUUGAGCCCCAGACAACACACUGAUGGCCUUAUUUAUAUAAUAUGGCGAUCAGACCGAUAUGCGCAUAUGCUAGAGCCGCUUUAACUUAGAAGUAGAGAUUUAGAAUGUGGAUAACCCAUAAGGCCUUUAAAAAACAAUUGGUAUGAUCUCUGCCUUUUCAUUAAGAAGAAGAGAAUUGGCCAGCUAACAAGGAAAACUAGCCGAAAAUCUGAUACAACAGCGAUACACACCGACACACACACCAACUUCGAGGUUGCGUAGGCGUUUCGACAACUCUGCCACCCAAGUUUCCAUUGAUGGCAUCCUACUGAUGAGUCUAAAUUUGCUUUACUUUUUACCUUUAAUACUCAUGUAGUAGUUGUAGGAUUGUUGGAUUUUACUGUGUUCGCGCACCCUUUUUAUUGAUUUCAUUAGGAUCUUAACAAAGGAGGGGAUUGAUGACACACAAGUAUAGGGGAUCUAUCGUAGUCCUUUCGAUAAGUAAGAGUGUCGAACCCAACGAGGAGCAAAAGGAAAUGAUAAGCAAUUUUCAGUAAGGUAUUCUCUACAAGCACUGAAAUUAUCGGUAACAGAUAGUUUUGUGAUAAGGUGAUUGGUAACGGGUAACAAGUAAUAAAAGUAAAUAAGGUGCAACAAGAUGGCCCAAUCCUUUUUGUAGCAAAGGACAAGCCUAGACAAAGUCUUAUAUAAAGGAAAACGCUCCCGAGGACACAUGAGAAUUAUCGUCAAGCUACUUUUCAUCACGCUCAUAUGAUUCACGUUCCGUACUUUGAUAAUUUGAUAUGUGGGUGGACCGGUGCUUGGGUACUUCCCUUACUUGGACAAGCAUCCCACUUAUGAUUAACCCCUCUUGCAAGUAUCCGCAACUACAAAAGAAGUAUUAAGGUAAACCUAGCCAUAGCAUGAAACAUAUGGAUCCAAAUCAGCCCCUUACGAAGCAACACACAAACUAGGGUUUAAGAUCCUGUCACUCUAGCAACCCAUCAUCUACUUAUUACUUCCCAAUGCCUUCCCCUAGGCCCAAACAAUGGUGAAGUGUCAUGUAGUCGACGUUCACAUGACACCACUAGAGCAAGGACAACAUACAUCUCAUCAAAAUAUCGAAUGAAUACCAAAUUCACAUGACUACUUAUAGCAAGACUUCUCCCAUGUCCUCAGGAACAAACGUAACUACUCACAAAUCAUAUUCAUGUUCAUAAUCAGAGGGGUAUUAAUAUGCAUAAAGGAUCUGAACAUAUGAUCUUCCACCAAGUAAACCAACUAGCAUCAACUACAAGGAGUUAUCAACACUACUAGCAACCCACAGGUACCAAUGUGAGGUUUCGGGACAAAGAUUGGAUACAAGAGAUGAACUAGGUUUGAGAUGAGAUGGUGCUGGUGAAGAUGUUGAUCGAGAUUGACCCCCUCCCGAUGAGAGGAUUGAUGGUGAUGACGAUGGUGGUGAUUUCCCCCUCCCGGAGGGAUGUUUUCCCGGCAGAAUAGCUCCGCCGGAGCCCUAGAUUGGUCCCGCCUCGUGGCGGCGGUGUUUCGUCUUGAAAGCUUGCUUAUGAUUUUUUCCAGGGCGAAAGACUCCAUCUAGCCAAAGAUGGGCACCGGAGGCCUGCCAGGGGGCCCAUGAGACAGGGGGCGCGCCCAGGGGGGUAGGGCGCGCCCCCACCCUCGUGGAUGGUGGGUGGACCCCCUCCGGUGCUUUCUUUGCCCAAUAUUUUUUAUAUAAUCCAAAACUGACUUCCGUGGAGUUUCAAGACUUUUGGAGUUGUGCAGAAUAGGUCUCUAAUAUUUGCUCCUUUUCCAGCCCAGAAUUCCAGCUGCCGACAUUCUCCCUCUUCGCGCAAACCUUGUAAAAUAAGAGAGAAUAGGCAUAAGUAUUGUGACAUAAUGUGUAAUAACAACCCAUAAUGCAAUAAAUAUCGAUAUAAAAGUAUGAUGCAAAAUGGACGUACCAGGGAUCUAGAGCAUUAAAGAGGAGAAUGCGAGUAUGUAGGUGAGCAUCAUGUUUAUUCACGUGGUGGAAGUUUGCCAUAAAAAUAAGCGAUCAAACGGAGUAAAUCCCAGUCGUAACAGUCUCCAGGAGAGAAGACAUCGCCUUGUACUAGCGCGCCCGCUUGUACAAGGCUUGUACCAUGUAACGCCACCUCCCUUUGGUCGACUAUUUCACCCUGAUGGCUUCAUAUCAUGAAUUAGAGAUACAGAGAGCCCAAUAACUCCAACAGAACCAAGAAUCCUAGCCUCCAGAAUGGGCCCGGAGGGGGAAUCGAUGGAAGGGCUCUGCCACGCAUCUUGACCAAGGAGACUCCGACAUCAACCAUCAUCAUCAUCAUCAUCAUCAUCAUCAUCAUCAUCAUCAUCAUCAUCAUCAUCAUCAUACCCUAUUCAUAUCUUUGCAAUACCAAAACCUAGGUGGAAACCUACAUGUAUUACUUUGAUUGUUCAUCCAUGUUUGCCAUGAUUAUCCUUGUGAUGUUUACUAUCUUUAUGUCCGAGUAAUAAUACCCCUACUUCUCAAGGAUGUGGAGGAACCCUAGUAUGUUUUGGUGUUGAACACUAAUAGGAUAGAGAAUCAUCAUUUGCUUGUUUGAGUUAAUGUUCUUCAUGAAUUUUGUGUAAGGUCAACCUUGACAUUUAGCCUUUAUGGUCAUGAAGGAUGUUACUAUCGUUGUGAUGGUGGCAUGCAAAGGUAAAGAGGUGACCGUAAUAUCCUCCCUUCCUACCUGGAGCAAUUGAUAGGAGAAUAACAGAGAGCCGACCAUUGGCCACGUCCAUGGGGAACCGUUAAUAAUCGUUGUUGUAACCUACUGUGUAGAGGAAUGAUGGUGACAUGUGUGAUAUGGAGCUACACAAUUAGCACCCAUGUUUGUACCAGGCUCCACCUACUUAUCCAAAACAAUAAGCGUCGCGCAAUGGGAGAUCACUGAGGCAUGCCACGUCAGAUUGAUCAAUUGGCUCAAAGAAAAAUGACGGAUCGAGGGAGCACGUGGGUUGGUGGCUUCUCCUGUUCGUUCAUUGGAGAUAAGAGAAAAAUAGGAAAAUUAAUUCACCCACUCCAAGGCGUCUGAGCCCCCUUGCGCUUACUUCACAUCUAGCCUCUAGGUUCCCAAACCUGUAGCGCUGUCGUCGCUGCCGCCCCCGCGUUCGAUGCACCUCCGCUGCCCGAGCAAGGAGCAGCAACUCCUCUAGCCUCAUAGAACCCCACCUCACUGGCCCGAGUAGGGGUGGCACGCCUCGUACUCGCCUCCAUCUAAGCACACACACACACACAGAGAUGGUGAUGGCUGGAUCUGGCUAGGUGGCCAUGGAGGAGGACGACUUGGCCCUGCAGCUGAUGCAAACCAUCCAUUUCUUCCCAGUGUCGCCCUAUUAUUCCUCCUCUCACUCCGAUCUUGUCGUGGCCACCACCAACAAUAGAAAGAAAUCAAGCCCUUUUGUGGUAUGAUCUAUCCCUUCCAUUGUUGUUUGAUCCAUUUGCUUGCACCCUUUUGUGCUGCUGUUGUGAGGCGGAGAAACAGAGGAAUUGUGAUGUGUAUAUGCUAUAUUUCCCUUUCUGAAUUUGGAGGUUGUGCAACACAGAACAAUUAUAAACUGAUAAUCUCUACAUGAUACUAACAGGAGGAAUAGAGGGAUGUAAUUUGUAAAUAUAGAAAUUUCAUGUUUUGUGAAAUGGUAAACACUGAAUUUCACACUUUUGAUCUUGCCUGGAACUUCGGUAUGUAAAGUAAUCUGCUCUGGGUUUGCUGGUGUGAUAACAUAACUGACUGGCUCCACCUUCUCAUGAAGUACGCUGAGGUUAGCUUUUGUUUUUACACGGGCCAUUCUAAAAAAUGGCAUUAUUUUCGCUACAAGUCGUGCCUCUGCUGCAAGUAUGUCAUUGUGAUUGUGCCUUUCUAUCAGCCCGUUGGCUACCGCUAUUGAUUGUCUAUGUUGGAGCAGAAGAAUCCAUCACAUGGUCUCUAGGGCUCGUCUCACAGGGCUGCCGACAUAGCGGGGGANNNNNNNNNNNNNNNNNNNNNNNNNNNNNNNNNNNNNNNNNNNNNNNNNNNNNNNNNNNNNNNNNNNNNNNNNNNNNNNNNNNNNNNNNNNNNNNNNNNNNNNNNNNNNNNNNNNNNNNNNNNNNNNNNNNNNNNNNNNNNNNNNNNNNNNNNNNNNNNNNNNNNNNNNNNNNNNNNNNNNNNNNNNNNNNNNNNNNNNNNNNNNNNNNNNNNNNNNNNNNNNNNNNNNNNNNNNNNNNNGUUUGAAGCUUGGUGGCUUGGAUUCGGAGGUUAUCUUAUAUCUAUGUGUGUAAUAUUAGCACGUUCCAUAUGAGCUCAUGGCCUGCAGCACCCCCGAUGUGCUUGAGGCGUUGGUUGUCAACAUCGAGUUGGGACCAGAGGUACUGGUCACGUGGAUUGUCCAGUUUGGUCUUGUCCUUGCUUUUCUCGCGCUUGAGUUUUUAAAUACUAGCUUGUACAGUACGUGUGUAUCAAUUACUAAUACUCGUAGCUACCACAUUGAAUGCAGAUCAUAUCGAGUGGUGCCUAUUGUGACCUAUUAUCAGAUAAAACAACCCUUGGUAUCAAAGUUCAGUUGAUAUAUUUCUUGAGCAGUAAUCAAAGGCAUCUUUUGUUGCUUUGACUUUUCUAUAUGUUGGUACUGCAUGUGAAUCAUGAGUAGAAGUAGCAUGGACAUCUUCCAAACUGCCGUGAUGGAGCCAACCAGGAUCCUCCCCUUAAUGCAAAUCAACGUGAUGUUAGAUCGUUUUGAGAUGGAUAUAUAUAUACAUAUACAUAUACAUACAUACAUAUAUAUAUAUAUAUAUAUAUAUAUAUAUAUAUAUAUAUAUAUCAGGACAUUUGACUUUCAUCUUUAUUCCGGUAUUCUUAUUGGUAGAAAAGCUACGCACUUCAAAGUAGGUUUCCACUAAUCAAAUCAUGAUCAACAUUCACAUGAUUGGUCCAAAUGGGCAAAAGCUAGGGCUGCAUGGUGCUGCAUACUUCUGUUAACUAAUCAUACUAAUGGAGUGAUUGUUGGUCACAACUUAUUUUUAUAAUAUUUAUUCCAGAUCUGGUAGUAUAUAGUUGAUAGCUGUCCAACACCUUGGUUAUUUGCUUAUAAUAUAACUUUUCUUUCGGCCAUGCAUGAAAAGACUAGCUGUAUUUCAAAAAUCGAGCAUUUCUCGUCUGUCUGUUUGAAUUCGAUUUUGGCAGUGGGGGAGGAGGUGGCUGAGGGCUCGUGCCACCCGGAAGAUGAUGGUCAGGGAGUUUGAGCUCAUUUGGAUAAAGCCUGUACGGGGAAGAAGGGUUGGAUCAUGCGCUUCGAUGGACAUUGAUUCCUUGCAUGAUGUCUGUCUAUUUUGCACACAUAUUGAGUUACUUGUUCUCUCUGAAUUCGUGUGUCCGAACUAUUCAUAUUUAGUGUUUAUGUCUAAUUUCUAGAAUGAACAUUCAUAGGUAGAUAAUCUAGAUCUGACAUGAGUUGCUCUAUGGUCAGCUUCUGAUGCGAUUUUAUUUGUAACUGUUGUUAGGCCAGACAAAUAGUUGGUUCGGCUUUUCUUUGAAGACCGAGUAUAGGCCGGAAAUGGAGGAGGAUGAAAUCUGUUAGCUCGAUCUCAUUGGCAUGACUAUUUUUGUCAAGGUACAUAUAAUAUAUAUCCUGCUUGAUGUCCCCCCUAGGUUUUUGUGAUGUGUUUCACUUGUUGAAUUCCAUUUAAAAAUAAAAUCACAACAUGAUCAAGGUAAAAAAACAAAAUAGUAUCUACAUUAUUACUUUUUUAUGUAGAAUUGAAAAGUACUCCCUCUAUAAACUAAUAAAAGAUGUUUUAGACACUUGACAUAAGUGUCUAAAACGUCUUAUAUUACAUUACAGAGGUAGUAGUUGAUAAUCGAUGAAAAGUUGAUACGUCCAUUUUGCAUCAUAUUUUCCUACUGUUAUUUACAGUGUUUUUAUUCAAUAUAACACUUUGUGGAGUAAUUCUAAUGUCUUUUCUCUCAUAAUAUGCAAGGUUUACACAACGAGGGAGAUUACCGGCAGCUGGAAUUCUGGACCUGAAAAAGCUAUGUUAGAUAUACCAAUUCUGCACAUCUCCAAAUGACCUGAAAUUUUACAGAGAUUUAUUUUGGAAUAUAUAAAAAAUAUUGGAGAAAAGAAAUACCAGAGGGGGCCACCCAGGUGCCCACUAGGCACCAGGACACGCCUACCCCCUGGUGUGCCCUGGUGGGUAGUGGGCCCCCUGGCCAGCCUCCGUUGCCCAUCUUCUGCUAUAUAAGGUCAUUUGCCCUACAAAAAAUAAGGAGAGGACUUUUGGGAUGGAGCGCCGCCGUCUUGAGAUAGAACUUGGGCAGGAGCACUUUUGCUCUCCGGCGGAGCGAUUCCAUCACGGAUACUUCCCUCCGGGAGGGGGAAAUUGAAGCCAUCGUCAUCAUCAACGACCCUCUCAUCGUGGGAGGGCCAAUCUUCAUCAAAAUCUUCAACAACACCAUCUCAUCUCCAAAUCUUAGUUUGUCUCUUGUGUUCAAUCUUUGUAUCAAAAUCUCAGAUUGGUACCUAUGGGUGACUAGUAGUGUUGAUUACAUCUCGUAGUUGAUGCUAGAUGGUUUACUUGGUGGAAAAUUAUAUGUUUAUAUCCAUUAUGCAAUUCAAUACCCCUCUUGAGCAUGAAUAUGUUUUGUGAGUAGUUACUUUUGUUCUUGAGGACAUGGGAGAAGUCUUGUCAUAAGUAAUCAUGUGAAUUUGAUAUUCGUUCGAUAUUUUGAUGAUAUGUAUGUUGUGAUUCCCUUAGUGGUGUUAUGUGAACGUCGACUACAUGACACGUCACCAUCCUCGGGACAAAGGGAAUGCAUUGUGGAGUAGUUAUUAGAUGAUGGGUUGCUAGAGUGACAGAAGCUUAAAUCCUAGUUUAUGCGCUAUUCCGUAAGGGGCUGAUUUAGAUCCAUAAGUUUAAUGCUUUGGUUAGAUAUCAUCUUAAUUCUUCUUUCGUAGUUGCGGAUGAUUGUGAGAGGGGUUAAUCAUAAGUGGGAGGCUUGUUCAAGUAAUAACAUCACCCAAGCACCGAUCCACCCACAUAUCAUAUUAUCAAAGUAGCGAAGCAAAUCAAACAAACAUGAUGAAAGUGACUCGAUGAAAUUCCCGUGUAUCCUCAAGAACGCUUUGUUUACUAUAAGAGACCGUUCCGGCCUGUCCUUUGCUAUAAAAAGGAUUGGGCUACCUUGCUACACCUAUUGUUACUAUUGCUACUUAUUACUUGUUACAAAUUAUCUUGAUAUCAAACUACCUGUUACCGACAAUUUCAGUGCCUGCAGAAAUUACCUUGUUGAAAACCGCUUGUCAUUUCCUUCCGCUCCUCGUUGGGUUUGACACUCUUAUCGAAAGGAAGAUGAUACGUCUCCAAUGUAUCUAUAAUUUUUGAUUGCUCCAUGCUAUAUUAUAUUCUGUUUUGGACAUUAUUGGGCUUUAUUAUCCACUUUUAUAUUAUUUUUGGGACUAACCUAUUAACCGGAGGCCCAGCCCAGAAUUGUUGUUUUUUGCCUAUUUUAGGGUUUCGAAGAAAAGGAAUAUCAAACGGAGUCCAAACGGAAUGAAACCUUCAGGAACGUGAUUUUUGGAACGAACAAGAUCCACGAGACUUGGACCCUACGUCAAGCAACCAACAGGGAGGCCACGAGGUAGGGGGGCGCGCCUACCCCCCAGGCGCGCCCUCCACCCUCGUGGGCCCCCUGUUGCUCCACCAACAUACUUCUUCCUCCUAUAUAUACCUACGUACCCCCAAACGAUCAGAUACGGAGCCAAAACCCUAUUUCCACCGCCAUAACUUUCUAUAUCCACGAGAUCCCAUCUUGGGGCCUGUUUCGGAGCUCCGCCGAAGGGGGCAUCGAUCACGGAGGGCUUCUACAUCAACACCAUAGCCUCUCCGAUGAAGUGUGAGUAGUUUACCUCAGACCUUCAGGUCCAUAGUUAUUAGCUAGAUGACUUCUUCUCACUUUUUGGAUCUCAAUACAAAGUUCUCCCCUCUCUUGUGGAGAUCUAUUCGAUGUAAUCUUCUUUUGCGGUGUGUUUGUUGAGACCGAUGAAUUGUGGGUUUAUGAUCAAGUUUAUCUAUGAACAAUAUUUGAAUCUUCUCUGAAUUCUUUUAUGUAUGAUUGGUUACCUUUGCAAGUCUCUUCGAAUUAUCAGUUUGGUUUGGCCUACUAGAUUGAUCUUUCUUGCAAUGGGAGAAGUGCUUAGCUUUGGGUUCAAUCUUGCGGUGUCCUUUCCCAGUGACAGUAGGGGCAGCAAGUCACGUAUUUUAUUGUUGCCAUCGAGGAUAACAAGAUGGGGUUUUCAUCAUAUUGCAUGAGUUUAUCCCUCUACAUCAUGUCAUCUUGCUUAAAGCGUUACUCCGUUCUCUUGAACUUAAUACUCUAGAUGCAUGCUGGAUAGCAGUCGAUGUGUGGAGUAAUAGUAGUAGAUGCAGGCAGGAGUCGGUCUACUUGUCUCGGACGUGAUGCCUAUAUACAUGAUCAUACCUAGAUAUUCUCAUAACUAUGCUCGAUUCUGUCAAUUGCUCAACAGUAAUUUGUUCACCCACCAUAAAAUACUUAUGCUCUUGAGAGAAGCCACUAGUGAAACCUAUGGCCCCUGGGUCUAUCUUCAUCAUAUUAAUCUUCCGACACUUAGUUAUUUUCAUUGCCUUUUAUUUUACUUUGCAUCUUUAUCAUAAAAAUACCAAAAAUAUUAUCUUAUCAUAUCUAUCAGAUCUCACUCUCGCAAGUGACCAUGUAGGGAUUGGCAACCCCUUAUCGCGUUGGUUGCGAGGAUUUAUUUGUUUUGUGUAGGUGCGAGGGACUCACGCGUAGCCUCCUACUGGAUUGAUACCUUGGUUCUCAAAAACGGAGGGAAAUACUUACGCUACUUUGCUGCACCACCCUUUCCUCUUCAAGGGAAAACCAACACAAGUGCUCAAGAGGUAGCAAGAUGGAUUUCUAGUGCCGUUGCCGGGGAGGUCUACGCAAAAGUCAACACACCAAGUACCCAUCACAAACCCUUAUCUCCUGCAUUGCAUUAUUUGCCAUUUGCCUCUCGUUUUCCUCUCCCCCACUUCACCCUUGCCGUUUUAUUCACCCUCUCUCUCCGUCCUCCUUCUCUUUCCCUAUUUGCCUCCUUUUCCCGUUUCUUGUUUGCUCGUAUGGUUGGAAUAGUUGUUUAUUUAUUACUAAAUAGAGAACCUAAGAUCUAUGGAUCCUCAUCCGCUUUCUAAUCUUUUUAAGAGAUCCAAUUAUGAUGAACCAAUUGCUAGUGAGUUUUGUGCACUAGAUUAUCUUUAUGAGGUUUUGCUUGAAAUUCGUGAAUCUGAAAAGUGUGAUGAAUUACUUUAUGAAGCGAUUCACGAUAGAUCUUUGAAUAAAAAGCAUGAUUACAAUGAUUUUAUCAUAAAUUCUAUUUAUGUAAAUUGUGCUAAUAAUAUGCAACACCCUAAGCUUGGGGAUGCUAGUUUUGCUAUGUCCUCUACUUGUUGCAAUGAUCAUGAUUGGGGUGAUUCUUCUUAUGAUCUUGAAAAUUUAUUUAAGCCCCAUGAUGAAUAUGAGAUUGAUAAUAGUGUUUGAAAUAUUAUUGAAAGUGGGUUUGGAAGAGUGUCAACUUUAGAUCCCUCAUAUUUGGAGAAUGUUCAAUCUUAUGAAAAUUUUGAUAAAAGUGGGUUUGGAAAAGUCAUGACUUUAGUUAAUCCCACUAUUUUGGAAGAGUGUCAACUUUGCAUGCAUGUGGAUCAUGUUGAAAACAUUUUGUGUGAUAGCUAUUUUGUUGAAUUUGCUUAUGAUCCUACAUGUAAUCAUUAUGAGAGAGGAAAAUAUGGUGGUAGAAAAUUUCAUGUUACUAAAUUGCCUCUCGUUAUGUUGAGAUUGCUAUUGUUUCUUUCCGCUUUAUUGCAUAUGCUAGUUUUUGCUUGCCUCAAUAAUUUGUUUGACUAUAAGAUGCCUAUGCAUAGGAAGUAUGUUAGACUUAGAUGUGUUUGUCACAUGUUUUAUGAUGCUCUCUUUGUGCUUCAAUUCUUUCCUUUCAUGUGAGCAUCAUUGAAAUAUUAUGCCUAGCUAUAAGGCUUUAAAGAAAAGCGCUUGUUGGGAGACAAUCCAAUAUUUUUACUUGCUAUUAUUAAAUAAAUAAUUUGUAUACCCUCUGUUUUGGUUGUGUUUUUUGUGUUAAAUUAGUGUUUGUGCCAAGUAGAACCAUUGGGAAGACUUGGGGAAAGUCUUGUUAAUCUUGCUGUAAAAAGCAGAAACUUUAGCGCUCAUGAGAACUGCUGCCAUUUUUAUUUGGAAAGUGAUAUUUAGUUAAUUCUUUUUUAAGAUGAUUAAUAGAUAAAUUUCUCACGUACAGAAAUUUAUUUUAGAAUUUUUGGGGUUCCAGAUCUUGCGCUAGGUACAGAUUACUACAGACUGUUCUGUUUUUGACAGAUUCUGUUUUUUGUGUGUUGUUUACUUAUUUUGAUGAAUCUAUGGCUAGUAAAAUAGUUUAUAAACCAUAGAUAAGUUGGAAUAAAUUAGGUUUAACACCAAUAUAAAUAAAGAAUGAGUUCAUUACAGUACCUUGAAGUGGUCUUUUGUUUUCUUUCGCUAACGGAGCUCACGAGAUUUUCUACUUUAAGUUUUGUGUUGUGAAGUUUUCAAGUUUUGGGUAAAGAUUUGAUGGAUUAUGGAACAAGGAGUGGCAAGAGCCUAAGCUUUGGGAUUCCCAUGGAACCCCCAAGAUAAUCUAAGGACACCUAAAAGCCAAAGCUUGGGGAUGCCCCGGAAGGCAUCCCCUCUUUCGUCUACUUCUAUCGGUAACUUUACUUGGAGCUAUAUUUUUAUUCACCACAUGAUAUGUGUUUUGCUUGGAGCGUCUUGUAUGAUUUGAGUCUUUGCCUUUUAAUUUACCACAAUCAUCUUUGCUGUACACACCUUUUGAGAGAGACACACAUGAUUCGGAAAUUAUUAGAAUACUCUAUGUGUUUCACUUAUAUGUUUUGAGUUAUAUAGUUUUGCUCUAGUGCUUCACUUAUAUCUUUUAGAGCACGAUGGUGGAUUUGUUUUAUAGAAACUAUUGAUCUCUCAUGAUUCGCUUAGAUUAUUUUGAGAGUCUUAAAUAGCAUGGUAAUUUGCUUAAAUAAUCCUAAUAUGCUAGGUAUACAAGAUUAGUAAUAAAAUUAUCUUAUGAGUGUGUUGAAUACUAUGAGAAGUUUGAUACUUGAUAAUUGUUUUGAGAUAUGGAGAUGGUGAUAUUAGAGUCAUGCUAGUUGAGUAGUUGUGAAUUUGAGAAAUACUUGUGUUAAAGUUUGUGAUUCCCGAAGCAUGCACAUAUGAUGAUCCGUUAUGUGAUGAAGUCGGAACAUGAUUUAUUUAUUGAUUGUCUUCCUUAUGAGUGGCGGUCGGGGACGAGCGAUGGUCUUUUCCUACCAAUCUAUCCCCCUAGGAGCAUGCGCAUAAUAGUUUGCUUUGAUAACUUGUAGAUUUUUGCAAUAAGUAUGUGAGUUCUUUAUGACUAAUGUUGAGUCCAUGGAUUAUACGCACUCUCACCCUUCCACCAUUGCUAGCCUCUCUAAUACCGCACACCUUUCGCCGGUAUCAUACACCCACCAUAUACCUUCCUCAAAACAGCCACCGUACCUACCUAUCAUGGCAUUUCCAGAGCCAUUACGAGAUAUAUUGCCAUGCAACUUUCCACCGUUCCGUUUACUAUGACACGCUCCAUCAUUGUCAUAUUGCUUUGCAUGAUCAUGUAGUUGACAUUGUAUUUGUGGCAAAGCCACCGUUCAUAAUUCUUUCAUACAUGCCACUCUUGAUUCAUUGCAUAUCCCGGUACACCGCCGGAGGCAUUCAUAUAGAGUCAUAUCUUGUUCUAAGUAUCGAGUUGUAAUUCUUGAGCUGUAAGAAAAUAAAAGUGUGAUGAUCAUCAUUAUUAGAGCAUUGUCCCAAGUGAGGAAAGGAUGAUGGAGACUAUGAUUCCCCCACAAGUCGGGAUGAGACUCCGGACGAAAAAUAAAAUAAAAAAGAGGCCAUAAAAAAAGUGAAAGGCCCAAAUAAAAAAAUGAGAGAAAAAGAGAGAAGGGACAAUGCUACUAUCCUUUUACUACACUUGUGCUUCAAAGUAGCACCAUGAUCUUCAUGAUAGAGAGUCUCCUAUGAUAUCACUUUCAUAUACUAGUGGGAAUUUUUCAUUAUAGAACUUGGCUUGUAUAUUCCAAUGAUGGGCUUCCUCAAAAUGCCCUAGGUCUUCGUGAGCAAGCGAGUUGGAUACACACCCACUUAGUUUCUUUUGUUGAGCUUUCAUAUACUUAUAGCUCUAGUGCAUCCGUUGCAUGGCAAUCCCUACUCACUCACAUUGAUAUCUAUUGAUGGGCAUCUCCAUAGCCCGUUCAUACGCCUAGUUGAUGUGAGACUAUCUUCUCCCUUUUUGUCUUCUCCACAACCACCAUUCUAUUCCACCUAUAGUGCUAUAUCCAUGGCUCACGCUCAUGUAUUGCUUGAAGAUUGAAAAAGUUUGAGAAUGUAAAAAGUAUGAAACAAUUGCUUGGCUUGUCAUCGGGGUUGUGCAUGAUUUAAAUACUUUGUGUGGUGAAGAUAGAGCAUAGCCAGACUAUAUGAUUUUGUAGGGAUAACUUUCUUUGGCCAUGUUAUUUUGAAGAGACAUAAUUGCUUAGUUAGUAUGCUUGAAGUAUUAUUAUUUCCAUGUCAAUAUUAAAUUUUUGUCUUGAAUCUUUCGGAUCUGAAUAUUCAUACCACAAUUAAGAAGAAUUACAUUGAAAUUAUACCAAGUAGCAUUCCACAUCAAAAAUUCUGUUUUUAUCAUUUACCUACUCGAGGACGAGCAGGAAUUAAGCUUGGGGAUGCUUGAUACGUCUCCAACGUAUCUAUAAUUUUUGAUUGCUCCAUGCUAUAUUAUAUUCUGUUUUGGACAUUAUUGGGCUUUAUUAUCCACUUUUAUAUUAUUUUUGGGACUAACCUAUUAACCAGAGGCCCAACCUAGCAUUACUGUUUUUUUUUCCUAUUUUAGGGUUUCGAAGAAAAUGAAUAUCAAACGGAGUCCAAACGGAAUGAAACCUUCGAGAACGUGAUUUUUGGAACGAACAAGAUCCAGGAGACUUCGACCCUACGUCAAGCAACCAACAGGGAGGCCAUGAGGUAGGGGGGCGCGCCUACCCCCCCAGGCGCGCCCUCCACCCUCGUGGGCCCCUUGUUGCUCCAUAGACGUACUUUUUCCUCCUAUAUAUACCUACGUACCCCCAAACGAUCAGAUACAGGGCCAAAACCCUAUUUCCACCGCCGUAAAUUUUUGUAUCCACGAGAUCCCAUCUUGGGGCCUGUUUCAGAGCUCCGCCGGAGGGGGCAUCGAUCACGGAGGGCUUCUACAUCAACACCAUAGCCUCUCCGAUGAAGUGUGAGUAGUCUACCUUAGACCUUCGGGUCCAUAGUUAUUAGCUAGAUGGCUUCUUCUCACUUUUUGGAUCUCAAUACAAAGUUCUCCCCCUCUCUUGUGGAGAUCUAUUCGAUGUAAUCUUCUUUUGUGGUGUGUUUGUUGAGACCGAUGAAUUGUGGGUUUAUGAUCAAGUUUAUCUAUGAACAAUAUUUGAAUCUUCUCUGAAUUCUUUUAUGUAUGAUUGGUUAUCUUUGCAAGUCUCUUCGAAUUAUCAGUUUGGUUUGGCCUACUAGAUUGAUCUUUCUUGCAAUGGGAGAAGUGCUUAGCUUUGGGUUCAAUCUUGCGGUGUCCUUUCCAAAUGACAGUAGGGACAGCAAGGCACGUAUUGUAUUGUUGCCAUCGAGGAUAACAAGAUGGGGUUUUCAUCAUAUUGCAUGAGUUUAUCCCUCUACAUCAUGUCAUCUUGCUUAAAGCGUUACUCUGUUCUCUUGAACUUAAUACUCUAGAUGCAUGCUGGAUAGCGGUCGAUGUGUGGAGUAAUAGUAGUAGAUGCAGGCAGGAGUCGGUCUACUUGUCUCGGACUUGAUGCCUAUAUACAUGAUCAUACCUAGAUAUUCUCAUAACUAUGCUCAAUUCUGUCAAUUGCUCAACAAUAAUUUGUUCACCCACCGUAAAAUACUUAUGCUCUUGAGAGAAGCCACUAGUGAAACCUAUGGCCCCCGGGUCUAUCUUCAUCAUAUUAAUCUUCCAACACUUAGUUAUUUUCAUUGCCUUUUAUUUUACUUUGCAUCUUUAUCAUAAAAAUACCAACAAUAUUAUCUUAUCAUAUCUAUCAGAUCUCACUCUCGUAAGUGACCGUGUAGGGAUUGACAACCCCUUAUCGCGUUGGUUGCGAGGAUUUAUUUGUUUUGUGUAGUUGCGAGGGACUCGCGCGUAGCCUCCUACUGGAUUGAUACCUUGGUUCUCAAAAACUGAGGGAAAUACUUACGCUACUUUGCUGCACCACCCUUUCCUCUUCAAGGGAAAACCAACGCAAGUGCUCAAGAGGUAGCAGAAUACGAUUGAUCCCCUAUACUUGUGGGUCAUCAAGACUCUUUUCUGGCAUCAUUGCCGAGGAGUGAAGUGCCUUUGGUAAGGAAAAAUUUAUAUUACGUGCUGAAAUUUACUGUCACUUGUUACUAUAGAAAGAAAUCCUUUGAGGGGGUUGUUCGGGGUAUCUUCACCUCGACCGGAGACACAAAGAGUUGCUCCUCAACCUACUACACCUACUGAAAAUAUUGGUUAUGAGAUUCCUUCGGGUAUGAUAGAGAAACUGCUAGCUAAUACUUAUGUAGGAGAUGGAACACUACAUCCUGAUAUGCACUUGAUCUAUGUGGAUGAAGUUUGUGGAUUAUUUAAGCUUGUAGGUUUACCCGCAGAUGAAGUUAAGAAGAAGGUUUUCCCUUUAUCUUUGGGGGGAAAGGCCUUGACAUGGUACAUGCUAUGUGAUGAUAUUGGAGCUUGGGACUGGAAUCGAUUGAAAUUGGAAUUUCAUCAAAAGUUUUAUCAUAUGCAUCUAGUUCAUCGUGAUCGGAAUUACAUAUACAAUUUUUGGCCUCGUGAAGGAGAAAGUAUCACUCAAUCUUGGAGGAGGCUUAAAUACAUGAUGUAUACAUGCCCAAAUCAUGAGCUCUCGAGGGAAAUUAUCUUACAUAAUUUUUAUGCUCGGUUUUCUCAUGAUAAUCAAACCAUGCUCGAUUCUUCUUCGACUCGCUCUUUUAUGAAGAAAACUAUUGAAUUUAGAUGGAAUCUUCUAGAAAGAAUUAAAUGCAACUCUAAAGAUUGGGAACUCGACAAAGGUAAUGAGUUAGCUAUAACUCUUAAGUUUGAUUGUGUUAAAUCUUGUAUGGAUACCGAUGCUUUUCACAAGUUUAGCACUAAAUUUGGAUUUGACUUUGAUAUAGUAGCCUCCUUUUGUAAAUUAUUUGCUACUCAUGUUGAUCUCCUUAAGGAGAAAUGGUUUAAAUUUCACCCACCUAUUAAAGAAAAGACUGAGGAGCCAGUUAUAAUUAAAGACGAAACUAUCAUUUACAAUGCUAAUCCAGUUGUGCCUACUGCUUAUCUUGAAAAACCACCUUUCACUGUUAGGAUAAAGGAACAUAUUAAGGUUUCAACCAUGGUUAAGAAAAGUAAUAUUAGAGCACCUAGACCCUCUGAACAAAUUAAAGCAGAACCUAGUAUUGCUAUGGUUAAAGGUCUCUUGGUUGAUAGUAUUGAUGGGCAUGCUAUUUAUUUCUGUGAUGAAGCUGCUAGAAUUGCUAAACCCGAUACUAAAGAUAAGAAUAAACCCAUUAUUGGCAUGCCUAUUAUCUCAGUUAAAAUAGGAGAUCAUUGUUAUCAUGGUUUAUGUGAUAUGGGUGCUAGUGUCAGUGCUAUCCCUUUUACUUUAUACCAAGAAAUUAUGAAUGAUAUUGCAUCUGCUGAAAUAGAAGACAAUGAUGUUACUAUUAAGCCUGCUAAUAGAGACACUAUCACACCACUUGGGAUUGUUAGAGAUGUUGAAGUCUUGUGUGGGAAGAUAAAAUAUCCCACUGAUUUUCUAGUUCUUGGUUCUCCACAAGAUGAUUUUUGUCCCAUUAUAUUUGGUAGACCUUUCUUGAACAUUGUUAAUGCUAUGAUAGAUCGCAAGAAAGAAACCGUCAGUGUUAAUUUUGGUGAUGUAUCUCAUGAGUUUAAUUUCUCUAAGUUUCGUUGGCACCCUCAUGAUAAAGAAUUGCCUAGUAAGGAUGAAAUAAUUGGUCUUGCUUCUAUUGCCGUACCCCCUACUGAUCCGUUAGAACAAUAUUUAUUAGACCAUGAAAAUGACAUGCACUUCCAUGAAAGAAAAAUGAAAUAGGUAGGACGUUAUUUGAUCAACAACCUAUUCUUAAACAUAUUUUCCCUGUUGAAACUCUAGGGGGCCCUCCUCCACCUAAGGGUGACUCUAUGUUUGAAUUAAAACAAUUACCUGAUACUUUGAAAUAUGCUUAUCUUGAUGAAAAGAAGAUAUAUACUGUUAUUAUUAGUGCUAACCUUACAGAGCAUGACGAAAAGAGAUUAUUAAAAACUCUAAGGAAGCACCGAGCUGCUAUUGGAUAUACUCUUGCUGAUCUUAAGGGCAUCAGUCCCACUCUCUGUCAACACAAGAUUAGUAUGGAACCCGAUGCUAAACCGAUUGUUGAUCAUCAACGACGAUUAAAUCCUAAGAUGAAAGAAGUGGUAAUAACUGAAAUACAGAAGCUUAUGGAAGCAGGUAUAAAUUAUCCUAUAGCUGAUAGUAGAUCGGUAAGUCCUAUUCAUCAUGUCCCUAAGAAAGGAGCCAUUACUGUUGUUCCUAAUGAUAAAAAUGAACUUAUCCCACAGGGAAUCAUGACUGGUUAUAGAAUGGUAAUUGAUUUCAGAAAAUUAACAAAGCCACUAGGAAAGUGAUACGUCUCCAACGUAUCUAUAAUUUAUGAAGUAUUCAUGCUGUUAUUUUAUCAUUCUUGGAUGUUUUACAAUCAUUUUAUAGAAACUUUAUAUCAUUUUUUUGGGACUAACAUAUUGACCCAGCGCCCAGUGCUAGUUGCUGUUUUUUGCUUGUUUUUACAUCGCAGGAAAUCAAUGUCAAACGGAGUCCAAACACCGUGAAACUUUUUGUGGAUUUUUUAUGGACCAGAAGACCACCAAUGGGCCAGAGAAGCACCUGGGGGGAUGCCCCGAGGGGGGCACAACCCACCAGGGCGCGCCUGGGGGCCCAGGAGAGCCCAGGUGGGUUGUUCCCACCUCAGUGGCCUCCUGCACCCCUCUUUACCCUACAAAUUCCCAAAUAUUUCGAAAACCCUUGGGGUUAACCUAGAUCAGAAGUUCCACCGCCGCAAGGCUCUGUAGCCACCGAAAACCAAUCUAGACCCCGUUCUGGCACCCUGCCGGAGGGGGGAAUCAUCUCCGGUGGCCAUCUUCAUCAUCCAGGCGGCCACCACGAUGAGGAGGGAGUAGUCCACCCUCGGGGUUGAGGGUUUGUACCAGUAGCUAUGUGUUUAAUAUCUCUCUCUCUCAUGUUCUUGAUAUGUCACGAUCUUGAUGUAUCGCGGGCUUUGUUAAUAUAAGUCGAAUCAGAUGGUGUUUGCCCCUCUUUAUCUUGUUGUGAUGAAUUGAGUUUUCCCUUUGAGGUUUCAUUUUAUCGGAUUGAAUACUUUUAUGGAUUUGAGAGCACUUGAUAUAUGUCUUUCAUAUGAAUACUCAUGGUGACAAUGGGGUAUAGUAUUGAUUCACUUGAUAUAUGUUUUGGCACUCAACUCGCGGAUUCCCGAGGUGACAUUGGGGUAAUCUAUGCAUAGGGUUGAUGCAUGUUCUUGUCUUUGUUUCUACGGUAGAAGUCUUGGGGCACUCUUUGAAGUUCUAUGUGUUGGAUUGAGUAUUAUGAAUAUGAAUUUGCUUUGGAGUUAUUUAGUAUGAACUCUAGGAUAGAUCGAACGGAAAGAAUAGCUUUGUUCUAUUUUAAUACGAACUCUUGAAUAGAUCGAUCGAAAAGAAUAGCUUUCAGGUGGUUUCGUACCCUACAAACAAUUUAUUCUUAUGUUCUCCGCUAGAUAGGAACUUUGGAGUGAUUCUUCAUCGCACUUUGAGGGGUGGUUAUAUGAUCCAAUUAUAUUAGCAUUGUUGAGAGGUUGCACUAGCGAAAGUAUGGACCCUAGGCCUCAUUUUCAAGCAUUGCAAUACCGUUUUUGUGCCCGUUUACUAUUUGCUACCUUGAUGUUUUUAUUUAUUCAAAUUAUAAAAAUAUAUCUCUACCAUCAAUAUUACACUUUUAUCACCAUCACUUCACCGAACUAGUGCACCUAUACAAUUUGCCAUUGUAUUAGGUGUGUUGGGGACACAAGAGAUUUCUUGUAUUUGGUUGCAGGGUUGUUUGAGAGAGACCAUCUUCAUCCUACGCCUCCCACGGAUUGAUAAACCUUAGGUCACCCACUUGAGGGAAUAUUGCUACUGUCCUACAACACUCUUUGCUUGGAGGCCUAACACGAGUCUACAAGAAUAAAUUGCGUAGUAGACAUCAGAAAGAUCAUUACCCUUUGCCAUUUAUUGAUCAAAUGUUAGAAAGAUUAUCUAAGCACACACACUUUUGCUUUCUUGAUGGAUAUUCUGGUUUCUCUCAAAUACCUGUAUCGCAAUCUGAUCAAGAGAAAACCACUUUUACUUGCCCUUUUGGAACUUAUGCUUAUAGACGUAUGCCUUUUGGUUUAUGCAAUGCACCUGCUACCUUUCAAAGAUGUAUGACAGCUAUAUUCUCUAACUUUUGUGAAAAGAUUGUUGAGGUUUUCAUGGAUGAUUUUUCUAUUUACAAAACUUGUUUUGAUGAUUGCUUAAGCAACCUUGAUCGAGUUUUGCAGAGAUGUGAACAAACUAAUCAUGUCUUGAACUGGGAGAAGUGCCCUUUUAUGGUGAACGGAGGUAUUAUCUUGGGGCACAAAAUUUCUGGAUGAGAAUUGAGGUGGAUAAAGCUAAAGUUGAUGCAAUUGAGAAAAUGUCGUGUCCUAAAGAUAUUAAAGGUAUAAGAAGUUUUGUUGCUCAUGCUGGUUUCUAUAGGAGAUUCAUUGAAGACUUCUCUAAAAUUCCUAGGUCUCUUACCAAUCUCUUGCAAAAGGAUGUUCCAUUUGUUUUUUAUGAUGAUUGUGUAGAAGCCUUUGAAACACUUAGGAAAGCCUUAACUUCUGCACCUAUUGUCCAACCACCUGAUUGGAACUUACCCUUUGAAAUUAUGUGUGAUGCUAGUGAUUAUGUUGUUGGUGCUGUUCUAGGACAAAGAAUUGAUAAGAAAUUAAAUGCUAUUCAUUAUGCUAAUAAGACUCUAGACAAUGCUCAAAUAAAUUAUGCUACUACUAAGAAAUAAUUUCUAGCAGUAGUGUUUGCUUGUGAUAAAUUCAGAUCUUACAUAGUUGACUCUAAAGUGAUUGUUCACACUGAUCAUGCUGCUAUUAAAUACCUUAUGGAAAAGAAAGAUGCUAAGCCUAGACUCGUUAGGUGGGUUCUUUUGCUACAAGAAUUUGACUUGCAUAUUACUGAUAGGAAGGGAGUUGAGAAUCCCGUAGCUGAUAACUUGUCUAGGUUAGAAAAUAUCCUUGAUGACCCACUACCUAUUGAUGAUAGCUUCCCUGAUGAAAAACUAGCUGUCAUAAAUGCUUCUCAUAAUACUCCUUGGUAUGCAGACUAUGCUAAUUAUAUUGUUGCUAAAUUUGUACCACCUAGAUUCACUUACCAACAAAAAGAAAACAAUUCUUCGAUUUAAGACAUUACUUUUGAGAUGAACCACAUCUUUAUAAAGGAGUAGAUGGUAUUAUUAGACGUUGUAUACCUGAGCAUGAAUAGGAACAAAUCCUACAUAAAUUUCACUCCGAAGCCUAUGGAGGACAUCAUGUGGGAGAUAGAACUGCACAUAAGGUACUACAAUAUGGUUUCUUUGGGCCUACUCUUUUCGAGGAUGCUCGUAAGUUUGUUUUAUCUUGUGAUGAAUGUUAAAUAAUAUGUAAUAUUGGUAGACGUCAGGAAAUGCCUAUGAAUUAUUCACUUGUUAUUGAACCAUUUGAUGUUUGGGGCUUUGAUUAUAUGGGACCUUUUCCUUCCUCUAAUGGGUGUACACAUAUUUUGGUUGUUGUUGAUUAUGUCACUAAGUGGGUAGAAGCUAUUCCAACUAGCAGUGCUGAUCAUAAAACCUCCAUUAAAAUGCUUAAAGAAGUUAUUUUCUCAAGGUUUGGAGUCCCUAGAUAUUUAAUGACUGAAGGUGGUUCACAUUUUAUUCAUGGUGCUUUCCGUAAAUUGCUUGCUAAAUAUGAUGUCAACCAUAGAAUUGCAUCCCCUUAUCAUCCUCAAUCUAGUGGACAAGUUGAACUGAGCAAUAGAGAAAUAAAAUUAAUAUUGCAAAAGACUAUCAACAGAUCUAGGAAAAAUUGGUCUACUUGAUGAUGCAUUUUGGGCUUAUAGAACAACUUAUAAAAAUCCAAUGGGUAUGUCUCCAAUAAAAUGGUAUACGAAAAAGCUUGUCAUUUGCCUCUUGAGUUAGAAUAUAAAGCAUAUUGGGCAAUUAAAGAACUCAAUUAUGACUUCAAACUUGCCGGCGGAAAUAGGUUAUUUGAUAUUAUCUCACUAGAUGAAUUGGGAACCCAAGCCUAUGAAAAUGCCAAACUAUUCAAAGAAAAAGUCAAAAUAUGUCAUGAAAAAAGAAUCCAAAAGCAUGAAUUCAAAGUGGGUGAGUAUGUUCUAUUAUACAAUUCUCAUUUUAGAUUUUUUGCAGGAAAACUUCUCUCCAAGUGGGAAGGACCAUAUAUCACUGAAGAAGUUUAUCGCUCUGGGCUAUUAAGAUCAACAAUGCCGAAGACACUAAUCCGAAGGUGGUCAAUGGACAAAGAAUUAAGCAUUAUAUUUCAGAUACACCUAUUAAUGUUGAAACUAACAUUAUUCAAACCAUGACACCGGAGGAAUACAUAAAAGAGAUCUUUCAGAACAGUCCAGAACCCUGAAAAGGAAGAGGUACGUGAUACGGUAAGUAAACCGACUCCAAAAAUUCUACAAAAAUAUUUUUUGUCAGUUUUGGAAUAUUAAGAAAAAAAAUAAGAAACACCUGAGAAGGCAACCCAGGUGCCCACUAGGCACCAGGGUGCGCCUGCCCCUCCUAGCUCGCCCUGGUGGGUAGUGGGUCCCUCGGGAACCUUCCCGGCGCCAUUUCCGUAUGGUGUACUUGUUUCCCAAGAUAAAAAUUCUUUAUAUAUACCACCGGAUGAUUUGAAUACCGCAUCACGGAAAUAUCAUGUGUUCUUGUGUUGUGUUGUUUUCUAUCAGAUCUAGAUCGCCAUGGCUUCAACAAGCUCUUUCAAGGACAAGUUAUACAAGAAGGUCAUCAACCCCUACCUACCGGAGGUGAUGAAGAACGCUCAAGCCAUUUAGAUGCAUGAGAGGGUGCUCCACAUCCGGGAUGUUCAAGGGCCCAAGAAGACGGGAAGCGUGGAGGCCAGGCUCGAAGCAGUGGAGCAGGAGAUCUUCAAGUGCCAAGGGAUGGUGGAGUGUGGACUCGGUGCCAACUACUCCAUGAUCACGGAAUUCACGAGUGAUCACAAGGUGGAUGGACAGUCCAUGAAGGACAUCGUCUUCAGCUUCAAAGAACAAAUCAAUUAUCAGAAAGGCGAAAUAUAUGAUCUUGAAAAUCAAAAUUUUGAGUAUGAAGCAAGGUUCAAAGGUAUGAGUUUAGCUGCAAGUUUCAGGAUUCAGGAGCCUUGUGCAUCCUCUUAUGAUGGUGAACCCCUGCCAUGGAAGAAGGAGGACAAGCCUAUCACCUCGUCACCACCACCAUCACCAAAGAAGGAGACUUAAGCACACGGGUAUAGGCACUCCCCUUGGCUUGUGCCAAGCUUGGGGGAGGUGCCCGGUAUCAUAUCACCAUCACUUUUAUUAUCUUUACCUAUCUUAGUUCAAGCCUUAGUAAUUGCGUGAUUUAGUAGAAUAAAAGUUUAACAUGAUCUAUUUUCGAGUGCCAGUUUUAUGAUCUAUCCAUCCAUGUAUUCGAGUUGAGAGUUAUACAAUAAAGUUUAGUUUGAGUUUUUGCUUCUUUACUUUUAUGUUUCAAUCAAAAUAAAGAAAAUGAUGAAAAAAAGGUCAUAUGCUAAUCUUAUAGAAAGUAAUGACAUUACAUAAGGAAAAGUAUAAGUGGUAAAAUCUAUUGAAAGUUGACAAACAUAGCAUUUGAAAAUGAUGCAAUUCAUGAAAGUAUUAAUAAGGGAAGAGAAUAUUCACAUGCAAAUAUACUAUCUUGAACAUAUUUUAUAAUUAUGAGCCCCCACUAGUAUUUUAUGUCAAAUUGUUGAUGUUGGACAAGGAAGACAACGUAUUGAUUUAUGUUUGUUCAUAUUCACAUAGAAGUUAUAUUGUCAUAGAUCCUCCAACAUGUGGUGCUUGCCCAAUAUAUUUGCUAGCCAAAAAUCCGCACCAAGUAGAUAUACUACUUGUGCAUCCAAAAACCUUAAACCCAAUUUCAUGUUAUGAGAGUCUACUAUACCCACAUAUGGAUUGAAUAAGAUCCUUCAAGUAAGUUGUCACGGGUGCAUAAAGCAAUAAAAAUUGCUACUAAAUAUGUUUGAUCUUUUAUUGUAAAGGAAAAUAAGCAUUGUACAAACUUGUGAUGGCAAAGUAAUAAAAGUGACGGACUGCGUAAUAAAGGUUGCUAUCAUAAGGGGCAAUAUAACAUGACGUUCUUUUACAUUAAGAGAUUGUGCAUCCAAAACCAAAAAGCGCAUGACAACCUCUGCUUUCCUAUGCGAAGGGCCUGUCUUUUACUUUUAUGCAUUUACUUUUUAUGCAAGAGUCAAACGUGUUCUCCUCUAUUCUUUUUAUUUUUAUCCUUUGCAAGCAUCAUGUGGUGGGGAAAGAUCUAGGCACAUAUAUCCAGUUGGAUAUGGGUGAUCAUGAGUUAUUAUUGUUGACAUCACCCUUAAGGUGAAUAAGCUGGGAGGCGAAACUAUAAGCACCUAUCUUUCUAUGUGUCUGGCUGAAGCCUUUUGCUCCAUAUAUGUGGUGUGAGUGUUAGCAAUCAUAGAAGACUAAAUGAUGGUUGAGUAUGUGGACUUGCUAAAGGCUCUGACAUGAGACCCUUCCUGAAAAUAUGAUGAAUUGCAAUUGCAUUGUUGACGGAGAACAUAGUUUGUUAGUUUUUAAGAAAGUUUAUGCUUUAUACUUCGAUGCUGUGAUGAAUUGUUACUUGCUCAUGAGAAGUUUUAUGAUAAAGUUUAUUGUUGUUAUAAUAAUGAUCAUGAUGCUACUAUGCCCGUAUUUUGUUUUAUCGACACCUGAUGUCUACUACGCAACCUUCUUCUUGUAGACUCGUGUUGGGCCUCCAAGCGCAGAGUUUUGUAGGACAGUAGAAAUUUUCCCUCAAGUGGAUGACCUAAGGUUUAUCAAUCCAUGGGAGGCGUAGGAUGAAGAUGGUAUCUCUCAAACAACCCUGCAACCAAAUAACAAAGAGUCUCUUGUGUCCCCAACACACCCAAUACAAUGGUAAAUUGUAUAGGUGCACUAGUUCGGCGAAGAGAUGGCGAUACAAGUGUAAUACAGAUAGUAGAUAUAGGUUUUGUAAUCUAAAAAUAUAAAAGCAGAAAGGUAGAAAGUAGUAAAAGUGAGCAAAAACGGUAUUGCGAUGCUUGAAAACAAGGCCUAGGGUUCAUACUUCCACGAGUGCAGAGUCUCUCAACAAUGAUAACAUAAUUAAAUCAUAUGACAAUCCCUCAACGUGUGACAAAGAGUCACUCCAAAGUUCCUAUCGCGGAGAACACAAAAAACAAAUCUUGUAGGCUAUGAAACCACCUCAAAGUUAUUCUUCCUGAUCAAUCUUUUGAGUUAUUCCUGUAAGUGUCACAAACAACCCCAGAGUUCAUACUAAAAUAACACCAUAUGAUACACAUCAAUCAACCCUAAUGUCACCUAGGUACUCCAAUGUCACCACAACUAUCCGUGGGUCAAUUAUACGAUAUGCAUCAAACAACUUCAGAUUCAUAAUAUUCAAUCCAACACAAAGAACCUCAAAGAGUGUCCCAGGAUUUCUACCGGAGAAACAAGGAUGAAAUCUGUUGGGGAACGUAGUAAUUUCAAAAAAAUUCCUAUGCACACGAAGGAUCAUAGUGAUGCAUAGAAAUGAGAGGGAAGAGUGUGUCCACGUACCCUCGUAGACCGAAUACGGCAGCGUUAGCACAACGCGGUUGAUGUAGUCAUACGUCUUCACGAUUCGACCGAUCCAAGUACUGAACGCACGACACCUCCGAGUUCUCCACACGUUCAACUCGAUGACGUCCCGUGAGCUCCGAUCCAGCAAAGCUUCACAGGAGAGUUUCGUCAGCAUGACGGCGUGGUGACGGUGAUGAUGAUGCUACUGACACAGGGCUUCGCCUAAGCACCACUACGAUAUGAUCGAGGUGGAUUAUGGUGGAGGGGGGGCACUGCACACGGCUAAGAGAUCAAUGAUCAAUUGUUGUGUCUAUGGAGUGCCCCCUGCCCCCGUAUAUAAAGGAGCAAGGGGGAGGAGGCGGCCGGCCAGGGAGAGGCGCGCCAAGGGGAGUCCUACUCCCAUCGGGAGUAGGAUUCCCCCUUUUCCAACUUGGAGUAGGAGAGGGAAGGAAGAGGAAGGAGGGAGGAAGGAAAGGGGGGUCGUCUCCCCUCCCAAUUCGGAUUGGGCUUGGGGGGAGGGGGGCGCCACCUCCCUUGCUCCUUUCCCCUCCAUUCCACUAAGGCCCAUAUACCUCCCGGGGGGUUCCGAUAACCUCCCGGUGUUCCGGUAUAUUCCCGAUCUCACCCGGAACCAUUCCGGUAUCCAAAUAUAGUCGUCCCAUAUAUCGAUCUUUAUGUCUUGAUCAUUUCGAGACUCCUCGUCAUGUCCGUGAUCAUAUUCGGGACUCCGAACUACCUUCGGUACAUCAAAACACAAAAACUCAUAAUACCGAUCGUCACCAAACUUUAAGCGUGCGGACCCUACGGGUUCGAGAACUAUGUAGACAUGACCGAGACAUGUCUCUGGUCAAUAACCAAUAGCGGAAACUGGAUGCUCAUAUUGGUUCCUACAUAUUCUACGAAGAUCUUUAUCGGUCAAACCGCAUAACAACAUACGUUGUUCCCUUUGUCAUCGGUAUGUUACUUGCGCGAGAUUCGAUCGUCGGUAUCUCAAUACCUACUUCAAUCUCGUUACCCGCAAGUCUCUUUACUCGUUCCAUAAUGCAUCAUCCCGCAACUAACUCAUUAGUUACAAUGCUUGCAAGGCUUAUAGUGAUGUCCAUUACCGAGUGGGCCCAGAGAUACCUCUCCGACAAUCAGAGUGACAAAUCCUAAUCUCGAAAUAUGCCAACUCAACAAGUACCUUCGGAGACACCUGUAGAGCACCUUUAUAAUCACCCAGUUAUGUUGUGACGUUUGGUAGCACACAAAGUGUUCCUCUGGUAAACGGGAGUUGCAUAAUCUCAUAGUCAUAGGAACAUGUAUAAGUCAUGAAGAAAGCAAUAGCAACAUACAAAACGAUCAAGUGCUAAGCUAACGGAAUGGGUCAUGUCAAUCACAUCAUUCUCCUAAUGAUGUGAUCCCAUUAAUCAAAUGACAACAAAUGUCUAUGGUUAGGAAACAUAACCAUCUUUGAUAAAUGAGCUAGUCAAGUAGAGGCAUACUAGUGACACUAUGUUUGUCUAUGUAUUCACACAUGUAUCAUAUUUCCGAUUAAUACAAUUCAAGCAUGAAUAAUAAACAUUUAUCAUGAUAUAAGGAAAUAAAUAAUAACUUUAUUAUUGCCUCUAGAGCAUAUUUCCUUCAGUCCCCCACUUGCACUAGAGUCAAUAAUCUAGAUCAGACAGUAAUGAUUCUAACACCCAUGGAGCCUUGGUGCUGAUCAUGUUUUGCUCGUGGAAGAGGCUUAGUCAACGGGUCUGCAACAUUUAGAUCCGUAUGUAUCUUGCAAAUCUCUAUGUCUCCCACCUGGACUUGAUCCCGGAUGGAUUUGAAGUGUCUCUUGAUGUGCUUGGUUCUCUUAUGAAAUCUGGAUUCCUUUGCCAAGGCAAUUGCACCAGUAUUGUCACAAAAGAUUUUCAUUGGACCCGAUGCACUAGGUACGACACCUAGAUCGGAUAUGAACUCCUUCAUCCAGACUCCUUCAUUCACUGCUUCGGAAGUAGCAAUGUACUCCGCUUCACAUGUAGAUCCCGCCACGACGCUCUAUUUAGAACUUCUCCAACUGACAGCUCCACUGUUCAAUAUGAACAUGUAUCCGGUUUGCGAUUUAGAAUCGUCCGGAUCAGUGUCAAAGCUUGCAUCCACGUAACCAUUUACGAUGAGCUCUUUGUCACCUCCAUAAACGAGAAACAUAUCCUUAGUCCUUUUCAGGUAUUUUAGGAUGCUCUUGACUGCUGUCCAAUGAUCCACUCCUGGAUUACUUUGGUACCUCCCUGCUAAACUAAUAGCAAGGCACACAUCAGGUCUGGUACACAACAUUGCAUACGUGAUAGAGCCUAUGGCUGAAGCAUAGGGAACAUCUUUCAUUUUUCUCUCUAUCUUCUGCAGUGGUCGGGCAUUUGAGUCUUCUCAGCUUCACACCUUGUAACACAGGCAAGAACCCUUUCUUUGCCUGAUCCAUUUUGAACUUCUUCAAAACUUUGUCAAGGUAUGUGCUUUGUGAAAUUCCAAUUAAGCGUCUUGAUCUAUCUCUAUAGAUCUUGAUGCCCAAUAUGUAAGCAGCUUCACCAAGGUCUUUCAUUGAAAAAAUCUUAUUCAAGUAUCCUUUUAUGCUACCCAGAAAUUCUAUAUCAUUUCCAAUCAAUAAUAUGUCAUCCACAUAUAAUAUUAGAAAUGCUACAGAGCUCCCACUCACUUUCUUGUAAAUACAUGCUUCUCCAAAAGUCUGUAUAAAACCAUAUGCUUUGAUCACACUAUCAAAACGUUUGUUCCAACUCCAAGAGGCUUGCACCAGUCCAUAAAUGGAUCGCUGGAGCUUGCACACUUUGUUAGCACCUUUUGGAUCGAUAAAACCUUCAGGUCGCAUCAUAUACAACUCUUCUUCCAGAAAUCCAUUCAGGAAUGCAGUCUUUACAUCCAUUUACCAAAUUUCAUAAUCAUAAAAUGCGACAAUAGCUAACAUGAUUCACACGGACUUAAGCAUCGCUACUGGUGAGAAGGUCUCAUCGUAGUCAACUCCUUGAACUUGUUGAAAACCUUUCGCAACAAGUCGAGCUUUGUAGACAGUAACAUUACCAUCAGUGUCUGUCUUCUUCUUGAAGACCCAUUUAUUUUCGAUGGCCUGCCGAUCAUCGGCAAGUCAACUAAAGUCCACACUUUGUUCUCAUACAUGGAUCCCAUCUCAGAUUUCAUGGCCUCAAGCCAUUUUGUGGAAUCUGGGCUCAUCAUCGCUUCCUCAUAGUUCGUAGGUUCGUCAUGGUCAAGUAACAUGACCUCCAGAAUAGGAUUAUCGUACCACUCCGGUGCAGAUCUUGUUCUGGUUGACCUACGAGGUUUGGUAGUAACUUGAUCUGAAGUUUCAUGAUCAUCAUCAUUAGCUUCCUCACUAAUUGGUGUAGGUGUCACAUGAACUGGUUUCUAUGAUGAACUACUUUCCAAUAAGGGAGCAUGUACAGUUACCUCAUCAAGUUCUACUUUCCUCCCACUCACUUCUUUCGAGAGAAACUCCUUCUCUAGAAAGGAUCCAUUCUGAGCAACGAAUGUCUUGCCUUCGGAUCUGUGAUAGAAGGUGUACCCACCAGUUUCCUUUGGGUAUCCUAUGAAGACACAUUUCUCCAAUUUGGGUUCGAGCUUAUCAGGUUGAAGCUUUUUCACAUAAGCAUCGCAGCCCCAAACUUUAAGAAACAACAACUUUGGUUUCUUGCCAAACCAUAGUUCAUAAGGCGUCGUCUCAAUGGAUUUUGAUGGUGCCCUAUUUAACGUGAAUGCAGCCGUUUCUAAAGCAUAACCCAAAAACGAUAGCGGUAAAUCAGUAAGAGACAUCAUAGAUCGCACCAUAUCUAGUAAAGUACGAUUACGACGUUCGGACACACCAUUACGCUGUGGUGUUCCGGGUGGCGUGAGUUGCGAAACUAUUCCACAUUGUUUCAAAUGUAGACCAAACUCAUAACUCAAAUAUUCUCCUCCAUGAUCAUAUCGUAGAAACUUUAUUUUCUUGUUACGAUGAUUUUCCACUUCACUCUGAAAUUCUUUGAACUUUUCAAAUGUUUCAGAUUUAUGUUUCAUUAAGUAGAUAUACCCAUAUCUGCUCAAAUCAUCUGUGAAGGUGAGAAAAUAACGAUACCUGUCGCGAGCCUCAAUAUUCAUCGGACCACAUACGUCAGUAUGUAUGAUUUCCAAAAAAUCUGUUGCUCGCUCCAUAGUUCCGGAGAACGGUGUUUUAGUCAUCUUGCCCAUAAGGCAUGGUUCGCAAGUACCAAGUGAUUCAUAAUCAAGUGAUUCCAAAAGUCCAUCAGUAUGGAGUUUCUUCAUGCGCUUUAUACCAAUAUGACCCAAACGUCAGUGCCACAAAUUAGUUGCACUAUCAUUAUCAACUCUGCAUAUUUUGGCUUCAACAUUAUGAAUAUGUGUAUCACUAUUGUUGAGAUUCAACAAAAAUAGACCACUCUUCAAGGGUGCAUGACCAUAAAAGAUAUUACACAUAUAAAUAGAACAAUCAUUAUUCUCAGAUUUAAAUGAAUAACCGUCUUGGAGCAAACAAGAUCUAGAUAUAAUGUUCAUGCUUAAUGCUGGCACCAAAUAACAAUUAUUUAGGUCUAAAACUAGUCCCGAAGGUAGAUGUAGAGGUAGUGUGCCGACGGUGAUCACAUCGACUUUGGAACCAUUUCCCACGUGCAUCGUCACCUUGUCCUUAGCCAGUCUUCGCUUAAUCCGUACUCCCUGUUUCGAGUUGCAAAUAUUAGCAACAGAACCAGUAUCAAAUACCCAGGUGCUACUGCGAGCUCUGGUAAGGUACACAUCAAUAACAUGUAUAUCACAUAUACCUUUGUUCACCUUGCCAUCCUUCUUAUCCGCCAAAUACUUGGGGCAGUUCCGCUUCCAAUGACCUGUAUGUUUGCAGUAGAAGCACUCAGUCUCAGGCUUAGGUCCAGACUUGGGUUUCUUCUCCUGAGCAGCAACUUGUUUGUUGUUCUUCUUGAAGUUCCCCUUCUUCUUCCCUUUGCCUUUUUCUUGAAACUGGUGGUCUUGUUGACCAUCAACACUUGAUGCUCCUUCUUGAUUUCUACCUCCGCUGCCUUUAGCACUGCGAAGAGCUCGGGAAUUGUUUUGUUCAUCCCUUGCAUAUUAUAGUUCAUCACGAAGCUUUUAUAGCUUGGUGGUAGUGAUUGAAGAACUCUGUCAAUGACACUAUCAACAUGAAGAUUAACUCCCAGUCGAGUCAAGUGAUUAUGAUACCCAGACAUUUUGAGUAUAUGUUCACUGACAGAACUAUUCUCCUCCAUCUUGCAGCUAUAGAACUUAUUGGAGACUUCAUAUCUCUUAAUCCGAGCAUUUGCUUGAAAUAUUAACAUCAACUCCUGGAACAUCUAAUAUGCUCCAUGACGUUCAAAACAUCGUUGAAGUCCCGGUUCUAAGCCGUAAAGCAUGACACACUGAACUAUCGAGUAGUCAUCAACUUUACUCUGCCAGAUGUUCUUAACGUCAUCAGCAGCAUCUGCAGCAGGCCUGGCACCUAGCGGUGCUUCCAGGACGUAAUUCUUUUGUGCAGUAAUGAGGAUAAUCCUCAAGUUACGGACCCAGUCCGUGUAAUUGCUACCAUCAUCUUUCAACUUUGCUUUCUCAAGGAACGCAUUAAAAUUCAACGGUACAACAUCACGGGCCAUCUAUCUACAAUCAACAUAGACAAGCAAAAUACUAUCAGGUACUAAGUUCAUGAUAAAUUUAAGUUCAAUUAAUCAUAUUACUUAAGAACUCCCACUUAGAUAGACAUCCCUCUAAUCAUCUAAGUGAUCACGUGAUCCAAAUCAACUAAACCACGUCUGAUCAUCACGUGAGAUGGAGUAGUUUUCAAUGGUGAACAUCACUAUGUUGAUCAUAUCUACUAUAUGAUUCACGCUCGACCUUUGGGUCUCAGUAUUCCCAGGCCAUAUCUGCAUAUGCUAGGCUCGUCAAGUUUAACCUGAGUAUUCUGCGUGUGCAAAACUGGCUUGCACCCGUUGUAGAUGAACGCACAGCUUAUCACACCCGAUCAUCAUGUGGUGUCUCGGCACGACGAACUUUGGCAAUGGUGCAUACUCAGGGAGAACACUUUUACCUUGAAAUUUAGUGAGAUAUCAUCUUAUAAUGCUACCAUCAAACAAAGCAGAAUAAGAUGCAUAAAGGAUAAACAUCACAUGCAAUCAAUAUAAGUGAUAUGAUAUGGCCAUCAUCAUCUUGUGCUUGUGAUCUCCAUUUACGAAGCACCGUCAUGAUCACCAUCAUCACCAGCGCGACACCUUGAUCUCCAUCGUAGCAUCGUUGUCGUCUUGCCAACUAUUGCUUCUACGACUAUCGCUACCGCUUAGUGAUAAAGUAAAGAAAUUAUAGGGCAAUUGCAUUACAUACAAUAAAGCGACAACCAUAUGGCUCAUGCCAGCUGCCGAUAACUCGGUUACAAAACAUGAUCAUCUCAUACAACAAAAUAUAGCAUCAUGUCUUGACCAUAUCACAUCACAACAUGCCCUGCAAAAACAAGUUAGACGUCCUCUACUUUGUUGUUGCAAAUUUUACGUGGCUGCUAUGGGCUAAGCAAGAACCAUUCUUACCUACGCAUCAAAACCACAACGAUAGUUCGUCAAGUUAGUGCUAUUUUAACCUUCUCAAGGACCGGGCAUAGCCACACUCGGUUCAACUAAAGUUGGAGAAACUGACACCCGCCAACCACCUAUGUGCAAAGCACGUCGGCAGAACCAGUCUCACGUAAGCGUACGCGUAAUGUCGGUCCAGGCCGCUUCAUCCAACAAUACCGCCAAACCAAAGUAUGACAUGCUGGUAAGCAUUAUGACUUCUAUCGCCCACCACUCACUUGUGUUCUACUCGUGCAUAUAACAUCGACACAUAAAACCAGGCUCGGAUGCCACUGCUGGGGAACAUAGUAAUUUCAAAAAAAUUCCUACACACACGCAGGAUCAUGGUGAUGCAUAGCAAUGAGAGGGAAGAGUGUGUCCAUGUACCCUCGUAGACCGAAUGCGGAAGCGUUAGCACAACGCGGUUGAUGUAGUCAUACGUAUUCACGAUCUGACCGAUCCAAGUACCGAACGCACGGCACCUUCGAGUUCUGCACAUGUUCAACUCGAUGACGUCCUGCGAGCUCCGAUCCAGCAAAGCUUCAUAGAAGAGUUUCAUCAACAUGACGGCGUGGUGACGCUGAUGAUGAUGCUACCGACGCAGGGCUUCGCCUAAGCACCGCUAAGAUAUGAUCGAGGUGGAUUAUGGUGGAGGGGGGCACCGCACACGGCUAAGAGAUCAAUGAUCAAUUGUUGUGUCUAUGGGGUGCCCCUACCCCCGUAUAUAAAGGCGCAAGGGGGAGGAGGCGGUUGGCCAGGGAGAGGCGCGCCAAUGGGAGUCCUACUCCCACCGGGAGUAGGAUUCCCCCUUUUCCAACUUGGAGUAGGAGAGGGAAGGAAGAGGAAGGAGGGAGGAAGGAAGGGGGGGGGGGCGGCCCCCCUCCCAAUCCAGAUUGGGCUUGGGGGGCGCCACCUCCCUUGCUCCUUUCCCCUCCUUUCCACUAAAGCCCAAUAAUGCCCAUAUACCUCUCGGGGGGUUCCGAUAACCUCCCGGUGUUCCGGUAUAUUCCCGAUCUCACCCGGAACCAUUCCGGUAUCCAAAUAUAGUCGUCCAAUAUAUCGAUCUUUAUGUCUCGACCAUUUAGGGACUCCUCGUCAUGUCCGUGAUCAUAUCCGGGACUUCGAACUACCUUCGGUACAUAAAAACACAAAAAACUCAUAAUACCGAUCGUCACCGAACUUUAAACGUGCGGACCCUACAGGUUCGAGAACUAUGUAGACAUGACCGAGACACGUCUCCGGUCAAUAACCAAUAGCGAAACAUGGAUGCUCAUAUUGGUUCCUACAUAUUCUACGAAGAUCUUUAUCGGUCAAACCGCAUAACAACAUACGUUGUUCCCUUUGUCAUCGGUAUGUUACUUGCCCAAGAUUCGAUCGUCGGUAUCUCAAUACCUUGUUCAAUCUCAUUACCGGCAAGUCUCUUUACUCGUUCCGUAAUACAUCAUCCCACAACUAACUCAUUGGUUACAAUGCUUGCAAGGCUAAUAGUGAUGUGCAUUAUCGAGUGGGCCCAGAGAUACCUCUUCGACAAUCGGAGUGACAAAUCCUAAUCUCGAAAUAUGCCAACUCAACAAGUACCUUUGGAGACACCUGUAGAGCACCUUUAUAAUCACCCAGUUACAUUGUGACGUUUGGUAGCACACAAAGUGUUCCUCCGGUAAAUGGGAGUUGCAUAAUCUCAUAGUAAUAGGAACAUGUAUAAGUCAUGAAGAAAGCAAUAGCAACAUACUAAACGAUCAAGUGCUAAGCUAACGGAAUGGGUCAAGUCAAUCACAUCAUUCUCCUAAUGAUGUGACCCCGUUAAUCAAAUGACAACUCAUGUCUAUGGUUAGGAAACAUAACCAUCUUUGAUAAACGAGCUAGUCAAGUAGAGGCAUACUAGUGACACUCUGUUUGUCUAUGUAUUCACACAUGUAUCAUGUUUCGUUUUAAUACAAUUCUAGCAUGAAUAAUAAACAUUUAUCAUGAUAUAAGGAAAUAAAUAAUAAUUUUAUUAUUGCCUCUAGGGCAUAUUUCCUUCAAAAACAUGCAUCAAGCCCUAUGCAUAGAUUACCCCAAUGCCACCUCAGGAAUCUGUGAGUUGAGUGCCAAAACAUACAUCAAGUGAAUCAAUAGAACGCCCCAUUGUCACCACGGGUAUCCCACGCAAGACAUACAUCAAGUGUUCUCAAAUCCAUAAAAUUAUUCAAUCCGAUAAUAGUGAAACCUCAAAGGUAAAACUCAAUUCAUCACAAGAAGAUAGAGAGGGAGAAACACCAUAUGAUCCAACUAUAGUAACAAUACUCGCGGUACAUCAAGACCGUGCCAAAUCAAGAACACGAGAGAGAGAAAUCAAACACAUAGCUACUGGUACAUACCCUCAGCCCGAGGGUGAACUACUUGUGACGCCCCCGAUUCAAUCGUACACUAAUCAUACAUCAAGAUCAGGGACUCACGGGAAGAUAUCACAACACAACUCUAGACACAAAUUAAAAUAAUACAAGCUAUAUAUUACAAGCCAGGGGUCUCGAGGGCUCGAAUACAUCAGCUUGAAUACAAAUGAAUCAACGGAAGCAACAAUAUCUAAGUAAAGACAUAAGUUAAACAAGUUUGCCUUAAGAAGACUAGCACAAAAGCAACAUGAUCAAAAAGGCAAGGCCUCCUGCCUAGGAGCCUCCUAACUACUCCUAGUCGUCGGCGUCCGUCAUGUAGUAGUAGGCACCCUCGGGUAGUAGUACUCGUUGGCGGUGGCAUCUGGAUCCUAGGCUCCACCAUCUGGUUGCGACAUCUGAGGAGAAUGGAAAAGGGGGAAAAGAGGGAGCAAAGAAACCAUGAGUACUCAUCCAAAGUACUCGCAAGCAAGGAUCUACACUACAUAUGCAUCAAUAUCAAUGAAAUGGGUAGUAUCUGGACUGAACCGCAGAAUGCUAGAAGAGAAGGGAAAGCCUAGCCUAUCAAAGACUAGCAUCUUCAAGCAUCUUACAACAUCAGAAGAGAUAAGGGUAGCAUAUUAUAAUAUUAGUAAGUAUGUUGUAACAUCGCCCAAAGAUAACUUCCUCGACUCCCUGCGAGAAAACAGUCCCGGAGCCAUCAUUUCCAUUACAUGCCUCAUCUGUUGGGGAAUGCAGUAAUUUCAAAAAAAUUCCUACACACACGAAAGAUCUAUCAUGGUGACGCAUAUCAACGAGAGGGAAGAGUUUUGUCCACGUACCCUCGUAGACCAUAAGCGGAAGCGUUAUGACAACACGGUUGAUGUAGUCGUACGUCUUCAUGAUCCGACCGAUCCUACUACCGAAAGUACGGCACCUCCGCGAUCUGCACAUGUUCAGCUCGGUGACGUCCCAUGAACUCGCGAUCCAGCUGAGUGUCGAGGGAGAGAUUCAUCAGCACGACGGCAUGAUGACGGUGAAGAUGAAGCUACUGGCGCAGGGCUUCGCCUAAGCACUACAACGAUAUGACCGAGGUGGAUUAUGGUGGAGGGGGGCACCGCACACGGCUAAGGGAUCAAUGAUCAACUUGUGUGUCCUAGGGUGCCCCCCCUGCCCCUAUAUAUAAAGGAGCAUGGGGAGGCCGGCCGGCCCUUGGGGUGCGCCAAGGAGGGGAGGAGUCCUCCUCCUAGUAGGAGUAGGACUCCCCCUUUCCUAGUCCAACUAGGAGGAGGAAGGGGAAAGGAAGGAGAGGAAAGAGGGAGGGAAAGAGGGGGCACCACCCCUCCUUGUCCAAUUCAGACUCCUCAAGGGGGGGGGGGGCGUGGCCAGCCCUAAGACCCCAUCCUCUCUCUCUCAGAAGGCCCAUGUUGGCCCAUUAGAUCCCCUGGGGGUUCCGAUAAUCCCCGACACUCUGAUAGUUAUCCGAUGGCCCCCGGAACUCAUCCGGUGUCUGAAUAUAGUCAUCCAAUAUAUCAAUCUUUAUGUCUUGACCAUUUCGAGACUCCUCUCAAUAUCUGUGAUCACAUCCGGGACUCCGAACUAUCUCCGGUACAUCAAAACACAUAAACUCAUAAUACCAAUCGUCACCGAACGUUAAGCGUGCGGACCCUACGGGUUUGAGAACUAUGUAGACAUGACCGAGACACAUCUCCGGUCAAUAACCAAUAGCGGAACUUGGAUGUUUAUAUUGGCUCCCACAUAUUCUACGAAGAUCUUUAUCGGUCAAACCACAUAACGAUAUACGUUGUUCCCUUUGUCAUCGGUAUGUUACUUGCCCGAGAUUCGAUCAUCGGUAUCUCAAUACCUAGUUUAAUCUCGUUACCGGCAAGUCUCUUUACUCGUUCUGUAAUGCAUCAUCCCGUAACUAACUCAUUAAUCACAUUGCUUGCAAGGCUUAUAGUGAUGUGCAUUACCGAGAGGGCCCAAAGAUACCUCUCUGAUACUUGGAGUGACAAAUCCUAAUCUUGAUCUGUGCCAACUCAACAAAUACCAUCGGGGACACCUGUAGAGCAUCUUUAUAGUCACCCAGUUACGUUGUGACGUUUGAUAGCACACUAAGUGUUCCUCCGGUAUUCGGGAGUUGCAUGAUCUUAUAGUCAUAGGAACAUGUACAAGUUAUGGAGAAAGCAAUAGCAACAAACUAAACGAUCAUCGAGCUAAGAUAACGGAUGGGUCAAGUCAAUCACAUCAUUCUCUAAUGAUGUGAUCCCGUUAAUCAAAUGACAACUCAUGUCUAUGGUUAGGAAACAUAACCAUCAUUGAUUCAAUGAGCUGGUCAACUAGAGGCAUACUAGUGACAUUCUGUUUGACUAUGUAUUCACACAUGUACUAAGUUUCCGAUUAAUACAAUUCUAGCAUGAAUAAUAAACAUUUAUCAUGAUAUAAGGAAAUAUAAAUAACAACUUUAUUAUUGCCUCUAGGGCAUAUUUCUGUCAUCAGCAUCCAGUUCUAGUUGUAUCGAUCGGGAUACAACUUCGAGUGUCCGUUACCGUGGACAAGGCGCUUCGAAUAGAUCAACAUUCCCUGCAGGGGUGCACCAACUUACCCAACACGCUCGAUCAACUCCAGCCGGACACACCAUUAGGUCGUGACCGGCCUCGGCCGAUCAACACACCUCAGUCCUACCUAGGCUCAACAGAGAGGUCACACGCCGGUCUAAAUCCUAAAUGCGAAGGGGUCAUGGGCCAAUCGUCCUUUGCAAUCCUGCGCAUUGCGAGGACAGUCAGGAUCAGUCCUGACUACCUCCUUAUAAAAGGCAAGUGCUUACGUGGACCACUCGGGCGCGUGCCGCUCAACUCUGGCAUCU